Molecule: ribosomal RNA, 470 nt
Filed under: uncultured organism
Description: partial 16S ribosomal RNA
Rfam family: Bacterial small subunit ribosomal RNA
Source: RNAcentral
ACUCCUGCGGGAGGCAGCAGUGGGGAAUUUUGGACAAUGGGCGAAAGCCUGAUCCAGCAAUGCCGCGUGCAGGAUGAAGGCCUUCGGGUUGUAAACUGCUUUUGUACGGAACGAAAAAGCUCCUUCUAAUACAGGGGGCCCAUGACGGUACCGUAAGAAUAAGCACCGGCUAACUACGUGCCAGCAGCCGCGGUAAUACGUAGGGUGCGAGCGUUAAUCGGAAUUACUGGGCGUAAAGCGUGCGCAGGCGGUUAUGUAAGACAGAUGUGAAAUCCCCGGGCUCAACCUGGGAACUGCAUUUGUGACUGCAUGGCUAGAGUACGGUAGAGGGGGAUGGAAUUCCGCGUGUAGCAGUGAAAUGCGUAUAUAUGCGGAGGAACACCGAUGGCGAAGGCAAUCCCCUGGACCUGUACUGACGCUCAUGCACGAAAGCGUGGGGAGCAAACAGGAUUAGAUACCCCAGUAGUCCC